UGGGGAAUAUUGCACAAUGGGGGAAGCCCUGAUGCAGCAACGCCGCGUGAAGGAAGACGGUUUUCGGAUUGUAAACUUCUGUUCUUAGUGAAGAAUAAUGACGGUAGCUAAGGAGCAAGCCACGGCUAACUACGUGCCAGCAGCCGCGGUAAUACGUAGGUGGCAAGCGUUGUCCGGAAUUACUGGGUGUAAAGGGAGCGCAGGCGGGAGACCAAGUCAGCUGUGAAAACUACGGGCUUAACCUGUAGACUGCAGUUGAAACUGGUUUUCUUGAGUGAAGUAGAGGUUGGCGGAAUUCCGAGUGUAGCGGUGAAAUGCGUAGAUAUUCGGAGGAACACCGGUGGCGAAGGCGGCCAACUGGGCUUUAACUGACGCUGAGGCUCGAAAGUGUGGGAGCAAACAGGAUUAGAUACC
RNAcentral lists this ribosomal RNA (414 nucleotides) under uncultured bacterium. Its description in RNAcentral is "bacterial SSU rRNA". It matches the Rfam family "Bacterial small subunit ribosomal RNA", at positions 355 to 786 of the family's 1533-position model. The record is from RNAcentral.